ACAAAAACCAAACUCUAUAAGUCACUUAUAAUUCCCGUGCUGCUAUAACGCUCCCUCCCGCCGGGGAAGCAGAGGAAGAGGAAGACCUCCACUCCGUUAGAAGGACUAAGUGGAGAAGGAUCUGGCUUCGCUUGGAAUAUCCAAUUGGCGCCACGUAGCGAAAAGAAGAAACGACUGGCGCGCUGUUGCUAACUCGGCUAUAAUCGCGUAAGCGGUGUCUACGCCAAUUAAGAAGAAGAAGAUAGAAGUCCAAAACUAUUUGAAAAACCUAACAAGUGUUAAAAAUUAAGUUCAACAGAGGAGAGAGUUGUAUAGUUAAAAAUCUAAGAGGCUAAUUGAAAAGUUUGUGCUUGAUUAAAGAUCUACAAGUAGAACUGAAAAGUGAGUAACUAAGGCAAACGAAACUCACCUAUUCUUUGGAUAAUCAGCCGGACGGUUUGGAACAAAAUAAGAUUCAUGCUUCAACGACUAACUUAGAACUCUUAAUUUUCUUCACAGGAAUAAUUUGAAAUGUACUUAUAAGGGUUUCGUAAUAAAUUCAUCCAUAAGUGGCUCACACUGAUCAAGUAGAGAGCUUUAUAAGUGUUAGUUGUUAUUUGUCUUUGGUUUCCAUUUCCUUUCCUAAUCUCAAACAAGAAUUUAGUAUAGAGUAGUGAUCAGUAUUGAGUUCCCAUAUCCACAUAUCUCCUAUCACGAAAAAUCUGCUACAAUCUUCUUUAGCAGAUGCCAAUAAGUUUUGGGGAGGUAUUUGAUUACGAAGGUUCCUGUCUACCAGAAAGAAUAGUGUUGUUGAACAGCAUUACUCAUUAGCUUACUAGACAAGGUUCUUUGGAGCUGCAGUAUUUUGCACGAUAGGAUUAGCAAAUUUAUCUACUUUCUGAUUGAUAGCUAAAUUCGCAAGCACAACCAUUUAGUCUAGGUUUAGUUUCCAAUUUGCCUUGCAGCUCAAUGGUGGAUAGUUUUACCUAUCAGAUUCAGAUUUAUUCCCAAUCGCAAGGCAGCUAUAAAUUACAAUAGUUUUAUACACAUACAUAGGUUAAUUUUUGUUACUUUUUUGCUGUUCUUCAAGAGCCUGUUAGAGCUCUUUCUAACAGUUCAAAUCCAUUCAAAUUGAGGCCUAUUUGUGAUAACUGUAAUUAAUACUAAACGAAAAAGUUAAUUGUAUUAAAUUUAAGCAACAAAAAAAUUAUAAACUAUACCUACAUUAUUAUAUUUUUAAAAUACCAUAUUUUCAAGAAUUCUACUUCAAGUUCCAAUUCUGCUUGUUUCCAGUGUUUACUAGUUUAAUAUAUAGUUAUUUUUCUCCGGUAAUUCAAAUAAAAUUCAAUUACCAAUCGAGUUGAUAAGCAUCAAUGAAUUUACCUUCCAUCGGACUAUACUUAUCUUAAUAUUAAUAUCUACUUUCUACAUCAGUACAACGGGAACUCAUCUCAGUAAUUUCCCAUGAUUGCUUUGAGCAAAGAAGGAAAUCAUUUCCAAGUAAGCCAGACAACGACUGGCGGCUUAAAUGCGAGUACUAAUAUACACAGACACAGCUGUUGUUGUAUUUGUUUCCUUACAACCGCCUGAUAAAGAUAUUAAAUGGGUUUCUUUACUUUGCUGCAGGCGUACAUAAAUUUUAUAUUGAAAACUAAUCACUACUUUUCUGACAAUUUCUGACAACAAAAGAAAACUAAUAGGAGUCGUAAAAAAUAUAGGAAUAAAGGAGAUGGUACACGCGUAUAUAUGUUUAUGUAAAGGACUUUAUUUAUGUUUUUUUCGAGCGGUCGACAAUAAUUGAUUUACUACUAUAUUUUUGGUUUUGUAAACAUAGGAAUGCAUACUUGUGUUUUACCAUAAAAUCAUAAAAUUCCUUUGUUAGAGGGUUAAUUAAACUUUAACUCAGUAUACUUAAUGCAGCUUUAUAGACCGGAAUAAAAUUGUUAUGAAAUAUUAUUUAAGUAAUUUAUAUUUUUAAUUUAAUUUUUUAUUUUACCAAGCAGAGAAACAUUCAUUGUUUGGAUUUCAUUGCAAUUUUUUGCAUUUGAACGCGAUCUUAUAGAAAAUCUGAAACACUAAAUGUAAAUUGAGCUGCUAAUGAUACUGUAUGGCAAAAGGUAUUAUAUAUAAAAUAAUAUUCCAACAAUAGAAAAUUUAAACUUAAUAUUUAUUAGCAUUCUAAAGAAGCUCCUUUGGCAUUUAUUUAGCUACGGCUACGUCUUAGAUGAGUUCAAUUUUCGAUGCCUCGUUCGAGCAUUUCGACUGGUAACUGGUGAAUGACACGCGAGUUACAUAUAUCGUUCCACAAACAACCAUAUGUAAUGAAAACUCCAACGUAGACGAAAUCAUGAGAAAAUAUUUAAAUCAACCCAACAACAUUACUGUGUAAAACACUUAUUUAUUUGUUGGUUUGAUUUAAAUUGACACUCACAUAAAUAUGUAUAACGAAAAUGCAAGUAUCGUUGCUUCAUAAAAAUUAAACAACGAUACUUGUAAUGUAAACAAUUUGUAUUUAAACGUUGUGGCUUAAAUUUCAUGUCACCGAACUUAAAUUUAUGAAUACUACAUGAAACGUUAUUACUUUUACUUUCAUAAGCAAAAGUCAAAGUAAUAUCCAAUUACGUAGGAAUAUUUGUAUGUCCACUUAAAAAAAGUACUUAUGCCACAUAAAUGUCAAUGCACCGAUUUUGAUUUUGUUAAUAUUUGCUUAUUUUGAACAAUAUUGAAGGUUUCAGUUUAGGAACGAAACUAUUAUAAAAUUAGUCUUAAGAUUUAUUUGAAUAAAGGAACAGCUUAAGCUUGUUUUUAAUUAAA
This is a long non-coding RNA of Bactrocera neohumeralis, 2793 nucleotides long. RefSeq lists it as uncharacterized. Lineage: Eukaryota; Metazoa; Arthropoda; Insecta; Diptera; Tephritidae. The record is from RefSeq and is a predicted model, not a curated record. The transcript has 2 exons.